Long non-coding RNA from Lepus europaeus (European hare), 446 nucleotides. RefSeq lists it as uncharacterized. NCBI's taxonomy places the organism in Eukaryota, Metazoa, Chordata, Mammalia, Lagomorpha, Leporidae. The transcript has 3 exons. The record is from RefSeq and is a predicted model, not a curated record.
CUCCCCCGGGUCAGUCACCAGGGCAGCCAGGAGGCCUCUCACCUUCUAAAGCCUGCUGUCCAGCACCACACCGGAGGCUGUUAUCAUAUGUGGAAGCCCUACCCCGCAACGUGAUGCUACUAGGAGUGAAGCGACUUGGGUGUUCUGUGGUGUGGACUGCAGUGAGGAGUGAAUUCACGCUCGCCUGUGUGACGGUGGACAUGGACCCAAAGCCGUCCACUGUGGGUGCAACUCUAGAACAGUCCUCGGGACUCUAGGCAUAAUGACUAAUCAGAUGGAGGCCGAAACUACCCACACGCUGCCCCCCGCUCACCGACUGCCCUGACGUGAGUUUGUUCUUCCGUUGUCCGCACUGCGCUCUCUUUACUGUCCCCGGAGACUCCUGCCCAGGCAAUAACCUGAUGAUUCCUUAGAGGAAUUUCCCGCAAAGCCCCAUCCACUCUUGA